Long non-coding RNA from Tympanuchus pallidicinctus (lesser prairie-chicken), 5828 nucleotides. RefSeq lists it as uncharacterized. The record is from RefSeq and is a predicted model, not a curated record. NCBI's taxonomy places the organism in Eukaryota, Metazoa, Chordata, Aves, Galliformes, Phasianidae. The transcript is spliced from 2 exons.
UUUGCUUUGUUCAACACAAACUUGCUGUUUCCUGCAGCAGAGCACUUUGCCUCCCUCCUCCCUGUGCCGCCACGGGAUUGCUGUGAGCAGGAUGCAACGCAGCUCCAUCUGUGUGCAGUGUUUGUAUGUGCUUCUGCAUAACGAUUCUGAGGAUUACAGGUAUGGUCAGAAACUUUUUAAUGUAGUAUGAAAUAGUUGCACUGAGCGCAGCCCUUUCUGACCCAAGACCUCCACACCUAGCAUAGAACAGCAGUAAAUCCUGAGGCGGAUUAAGCAGUAUCCUCACAGUAAUGUGUCUGUUGGAGUUUCACUUAACCCAGUGUAGCUUGAAACAUUUGGAUAUUCCAGUCUGUUUCCCUUCUGUAUGUGGAAAGUUGAUGGCAGGGCAGCAUCCUGAACUCUGACUCCCUGUAAAAGUUUAAAUUGCUGCCCUGCUGGGCUGGGUGAAUGCUAAUUGCUUUGCUGCUCACAAUGCGUCCAGACUGCUUAUUUAACAGAAAUCCCCAAAGACACUUCUUUUGCAUGCCAAAUAUACUGCACUCAACAAAACACACAAAAUAGCAGGCCUGUUUGCAUACAGCAAUCACAAAUCUGAUAUUUAGCAACCUUUAAGGAUGAUCUCAGUUCUCCAUUCAAUGCAGCAGUGCUCACCGCACACUGCCUGCAGCGGCAGCUGCAGCACAAACACCAGGCAUGCUGCUCCUGGGAGAGCAGAGCAUGUCCCCAAAUGAUUGCCUUUGGUCUAGGACUGGGGUGUUCAAAGAAAGCACAGCUUCUUUCAAUCAGUUGGGAGGGAUUUCUGGGCUUUGACCUGGACAGGCAUUAGCAGAGGUGCGUUUGCAAUAAAGGCAAAGCUGGGAAGCACAGCGCAAGAGCCAUGUGUUAGGAGCUGCAUCUUCUUGGGGGUCUCAACACCUCUGCUGCUCCUCAGACAGGAGACUAAGAAUUAUUAACAAUUCUGUGACAGCAAUACUAAUCAGCAGGAAAACCAAAACUCGCUUGUGAUUGUUCAAUUCCUGUAGGUAAUCAUUAUGUACAAUUAGAACCUCUCGGUGGGCAGGCUCCAGGCAGCAGUGCCCUUCGCAGGCUGCUCGCUGCUCCAUGGGGAGUUCUCUGGGGUCUGUGCUGCACACCCUGUACCUGACUGCGUUCCUGCCACGUCGUGACAUGAAGUCACUGGAGCGUGGAUCUGAGCAGCCACAAGAACUGCUUCCUGCCAGUUGGGGCUUUGCACUGGGCCACAGUAUGAGCACUGAUUUUUUUCUCAGCUUUGGUGGGAAGUACAGGGCUGGUGGUCACAAUCAGUUGGCCGUGACCCCUGAAUCUUCUGAAAAGUGGUGUUAUGUUGCUAGCUUUUUUCCCUAUGUAUAGGGAACAAACCUGUUUAUUUUCAGCCAGGAUGAGUUUGCACUGCGUGACGAUGACAGUCUGGAUUUGGUUUUUGUCAAGGAGCAUCCAGAUUGCUGAGCUCUGGGAGAACCCAGGAUAAACACCCGCAAGAGAAAUGAUCACAGCAGCACCUGAUGUUCCUGAGGAGGAAGAUUCACCUGCUACAGACCCCAGUAGACUGCAGCCAUGCUGUCUCUGUUGUGCAUCCUGCCCACCGUGCUGAACCAAAAUGCUUUGCAGGAGCCCCACGGCCCAGCAUUGGUUCUUGGGAAUGUGCUGUUGCUGCACCUUCGAAAGCAGUGCCCAGGGAGAACAUGAGCACAUACAGGUGAUGGCAAUGGUGAGGUGAGAGCAUGGCUGGGAUGUGCCACUUCACUGCUGCUCGUGUGACUUGGUCAGUGCACGGUGUGUGGCCACUUCUGUCCUGCAGCAUGGGGUCAAGAACAUGUUUGGAAACUAGUUAAAGUGAAGGUGCUUCAACUGUUAUUAGGCAGAGUACAAUUUUGGGGAGGGAAACAGCCUGAGUCCAACUGAUGAGAACAGGAAAAAAACUGGGAAUCUCAUGGUGUUUCAGACUCAUAAAAAGUGUGACUAAAUCAACAAAUAGAGUAUUCAUUAGGAAAAAUGCACUUAAUUUCAGACCAGGGAUGUGGAAGUGCCAUGAGAGUUUUCCUGGAGAAUUUUUAUCCCAAUCAGAAAAAAGAAAAGACUGCAAUUAUUAAGGGAGCCUGUUCUUCAGAGAGCACCAACCCAGUUUUCUGUACCCAGGAGGUCUAAGCAAUCUCACAUAAGUUUUGGCUGAGCAGCUCUUUCUCCCACUGUUGUCUACACUGGAUGAGACGUGAGACGUCUCAUUGCUGUGUUCCGAAUCAGCCGCAACGCUGAACUUCUGAGACCUUACUGAAUAGGAAGAUAAGGGAGCAGUAUGAUCACUAGGGCCAUCUGUGUGGAUGAAAAGCUUUAAAGCCUCACCUGUAGGUAAGGGUUGACUUCAGCAAGCUGCCUGAGCUAGCCAAGCAGCGACACGGGAUUUGGGAACAACGCACGUGGAGAUGCUCAGUGCUGCUCAGGAAUGGGAUGCUAAGAGCCAUAGCAGAAACCAUCAGAGAAGGAUCUCUCCUCUUCAGAGCCACCCACAGCUUCUCCCUGUACCAAACACAAUGCUGGAAAACCCCUCACCUGCCUCACCCUCAGCCAGCAGAUGUGCAAAAGCGUCUCUGCAUUGUACACGCGUGGGCACCCUGCAGCCAGCUUCUUCCUGCAUCCUGCAUGCUGUGGCUUAGGGGUGCUGGAACAGCAGCUCAACACUUCAGAUUACACACUGGGUUUGUUACUUUUGUGAGAAGAUAUUUCUGGACCCUCUGCCAGCCCUCAGUUUGUAGUAACUGAGAAUGUACUAGUUCCGGAGCUUAGGAUAUUUUAUGAAAGGAGGAAAAAAAAAAAGAUGAAGGAAAAAUGAUUUUGAUCUGAGACAGAAAUUCAGACAAAGGAUUACCCGUGUUGUUUGAACAGACAGUGCAUAAACAUUACUUUCUAUUAGAAGGAACGGAGACUUGCAACAUUCAGGAAACUACUUUAUUCAUGAAAUAAAACUAGGCCCAUUCUGCUUAUUCAAAUACCACCCACAACUUUCUGGGGAAAGAUCAUAUGCAGAGCAUAUUUGGAAACAUUAUUAGGAAUGCAUAAAGUACAGUAUUAGUCAAUUUUAUAUGCUCAGUUGCAUGAAAUCUGUGUGUUUAAAAAAUAUAAUAAUUUGCAUUUCAUGGCUUUUGAUAACCUCAGGAGUGCACUUGAAAUUCAGCACAUGCCCACAGCACCUCCCAGCUCACCCCAUUUUUAACUGAAGACCAAUGGUUUCUAUUAAGGGAUCAGGCAGGGACUCUGACAAGCCAGUCAAUAACUAUGUGAGGUUACUUCAUUAAUGCUAUAAUGGCUGAUAGAGUGAGAGGCAAAAAACAGGUUCCUGACAGCAGCAAAUGAAAAUGAUAGAGAUUCCUGAAGCAACGCGCCUUUCCUUUGUCAUUGUCUUUUGCUUGGCUUAUUCAAAAUGUGGCAUUUAUGUAUUCAGCCUUGAUGAAUGUUGCAGGCUUUAAGUACUUUUUCCAUCUCUAAUGCAGUGCCGAUUGCACAUUGUUCUUUCUUUCUCUCCCUCUCUUUUUUUUUUUUUUUUCCUAUAACCUCUGCUGUCAAGGCACUGUGAGCUGAAGGGUUGCAGGCACCGGCUAAAUAGCUUUUUUGCUGUAAACGGCAAGGGUGACGGGACAAUGCAUCACCAGCGCCGCGAGGUCAGGCAGCCGGCGGGUGGUGGAGGUGGGGGUUGCCUCAAGCUGCUGCCGGAGCCCCCCGGCAGGGCAGCAGGACCCACCCUGUGCUGCCUGGCCACAGGGCUCUACAGGCGCCCUGCUCCACGAGUCUCCUCCAGAGCAGCUCCUAGUCCAUGAGAGCAUUGCCUCCUAGUCCAGAAGAACGUUUCUGCUACCCUGCCCGACAGCGGGGCCGCGUGGGGAAGGUGUGUGUCAGGUAAUGGUGCUGGGGAACAGAGCUCAGAACGCUUCUGAGUAUCGCGCAGAAAUGCCUACGUUGCGGUUGGAAAUGUGAUAUUCUUCCGGUUUGCUUCCACUCUUGCUUUGUGUCAUUCAGGAAUGGCUGAGUAGCCUGGGUCUGUUCAGCCUGGAGGAAAGAAGACUGAGGAGGGAACUGAUUGAUGUAUAUCAAUAUCCAAAGAGAGGCGGGAGGCAAAUGGAUUAGGGCAGGUUCUUCUCAGGGGUGCAUAGUGAGAGGAGAAGGAACAGUUGCCUAAAACUUGAAUAUAGGUGUAACAGAAAUGCUAAGUCACAGCUUGAAACAAUGAUUGAACACCUGGUGGAAAGGCAGGGCCAACUCAGGGAAGCUCAGGUGCAUGCAAUGUCCCAAACUGACUGGAAGGGAUGGAGCCAGUAUGCACCCCUUCCCAGACCUCAUGUAAGGGCUGGCAGUAGAGGCAAGGGUACCUCAUCUGGAGAUCCCUGCACACCUGAGGCCUUCUGAAGUGAAUAAUUGACUCGCUGUUCCAAUGAAAUUCAACUUCAGAAUUUAUUCUCACUGCAUCACUCUGGUUCAAUUUUUCUCUGAAUCAAGUUCUGUCCAGAUGGGAUUGUUCCCUGCACCAAGUUCCUCCUCUCCUGCAAGUCCUGGAGCACAGUGCUGUAGUCAUCAGGAUGAUGUGUUUUGCUUUGUCCCAUCUGGAGGAGGAGACACUCGUUGUCUUUAGGUUUGUGCCUUCUAAACAUUUCAUUCUGUGGAUUUCCUGUGAACUUAGUGAAAGAAGUGAGAGGAUAUUUCUCUAGCAAUUAUUUUCACGUGCCUGCAGAUGAAGCAACAUACCUGAAAUGUAGAACUGUGAAUGCUGGUGGACAACACUCUUUCUAAUGUCCUUUCUAUCCUGAAAUGUGGACAUGCUGGUGCUGCAGUCCUGUAGGCGUUAGAGAACACGUGGUGCUCUGGGCACCUUCCCAUCUGGAGCUGGGCUGAGUUGUGCCAGGGCAGAGGUGCAGAGCUCAGCCGAAAGCAGUGCCUUGUCUUACCCGGCCCUGAGUCUGCCAAGGGUGAGGGACAGCAUGGCUACAGCAGCACAUCACAAAUACAUGCCCUAUACGCAUGUAUAAGAGGAUUUACCUUGGGGUAUUUGAAGUGGAAGGAUGAAACUGAGCAAAGCAAAACUUACAGUGAUGCAAAGGACUCCUGAGAGAUGAAGGGAAGCCUUGCCAGGUUGACUGGUGAAUGCUGAGGUGGGAACAGGCUGAGAGGAAAUACUUCAAUUGUCGGCAGGAGGAACGAGGUGUCCUAUGGGAUUCUCAGAGUGAUUCAAAGAGUGUCUGUUUUCAUGUUUUGUUUUGUAAUUGACCAAAACAUACACAGCGGAUUCUCACAGGGCUGUGCUGAGCCAAUGCUCUUGCUGAAGUCAAAUGGAGAGGAACUUCAGAGUUUGCCCUGCUGGAAAAUGUCCAUGGGUGAAAUUGUAGGGAACACAAGAAAUUCCCUCCAAAAUGCUCAUUUUGCUGUACAUCCUCCCUACAGGGGACAUGUGUAAUUAGCAAUUGCUUCCAGUAAAUGGCUCUCUGAUCAUGACGACAAUCCAAUUUGAAGGAAAUUAUUGUUUAAAAAAAAAAAACAAACAACCAAACAAUCUAUGGAGGGGCUCUUACACUAACAAGCACCUUGCCUGUGCAAUGCCCCACUUGCAGCUGAACAUUUGCCAGCACUCACACGGAGCACAUGGUUUAUGACUUGCCUGCCAUGGGCAUCCUGCAGCACAGGGAAGGGAAAAUAAUCCCCUCAUGAAAAACCCCUGGUCUUUCCCACCAUGGUUCUUCAUACUCAGUGGAUGCCACAGCAAUUUGCAUGGCCUCUGUAUACAUUUGGUUUUGAAGGAUACAGCUUGUGAAGAAACCUCUUAAAAG